Molecule: ribosomal RNA, 316 nt
Filed under: uncultured bacterium
Lineage: Bacteria
Description: bacterial SSU rRNA
Rfam family: Bacterial small subunit ribosomal RNA
Source: RNAcentral
GACGAACGCUGGCGCGCGGCCGUAACACAUGCAAGUCGAACGAGAGAGAGGAAGCGUUGCGUUCCUUAAAGUCGAGUGGCGAACGGGUGAGUAACGCGUGAGGAACCUGCCUCAAAGAGGGGGACAACAGUUGGAAACGACUGCUAAUACCGCAUAAGCCCACAGCUCGGCAUCGAGCAGAGGGAAAAGGAGUGAUCCGCUUUGAGAUGGCCUCGCGUCCGAUUAGCUGGUUGGUGAGGUAACGGCCCACCAAGGCAACGAUCGGUAGCCGGACUGAGAGGUUGAACGGCCACAUUGGGACUGAGACACGGCCCAG